RNAcentral lists this ribosomal RNA (400 nucleotides) under uncultured archaeon. RNAcentral describes it as "bacterial SSU rRNA". It matches the Rfam family "Archaeal small subunit ribosomal RNA", at positions 254 to 656 of the family's 1478-position model. The record is from RNAcentral.
AAACCUGUAACCGGUACGGGCCUUGAGAGAGGUGGCCCGGAGAUGGACACUGAGAGAAGGGUCCAGGUCCUACGGGGCGCAGCAGGCGCGAAACCUUCGCAAGGGGGGAAAGCGUGACGAGGUUAAUCCGAGUGGCCCCCGCUGAGGGGGUCUUUUGUCAGCUGUAAAUAGGCAGGCGAAUAAGGGGAGGGCAAGCCUGGUGUCAGCCGCCGCGGUAAUACCAGCUCCUCGAGUGGUCGGGGCGAUUAUUGGGCCUAAAGCAUCCGUAGCCGGUUCCGUAGGUCCUCUGUUAAAUCCAGCCGCUUAACGGUUGACAUGCAGAGGAUACCGCGGGACUAGGAGGCGGGAGAGGCGGACGGUACUCCGCGUGUAGGGGUAAAAUCCUUUGAUCCGCGGAAGA